UCUGAUCAGAAAUUCAACACGAAUUCUCCAAACAUAAAUCAAUCACACAACGCCUUACCGUUUCACUUGUGUUUCCCGUGGUGUUUCCCUAUGGAUCUAAAUAGGAGCUCUAGAUACCAAUUAUUAGUGCACAAGGUGAUAAAUAUGAACAACGGAAAUAAGAGAGAGAGAAGAGAAAAUAAUAAAAAACUUCCACUACUCUAAAACGGUUACAGUAAAAUGCACACACACUGCUCUACUACACUACACAGACU
Molecule: long non-coding RNA, 254 nt
Filed under: Lathyrus oleraceus (garden pea)
Lineage: Eukaryota; Viridiplantae; Streptophyta; Magnoliopsida; Fabales; Fabaceae
Description: Pisum sativum (pea) long non-coding RNA (PSAT_LNC011859)
Source: RNAcentral